AUUCCAGCUCCAAUAGCGUAUAUCAAAAUGGUUGCGGUACAACAACUCGUAAUUGGAUUUCUGCUGAAGACCACCGGUCCGCCCUCUGGGUGAAUAUCUGGCUUGGCCUUGGCAUCUUCUUGGAGAACGUAGCUGCACUUGACUGUAUGGAGGGUAUCCAAGACUUUUACUUUGAGGAAAUUAGAAUGUUUCAAGCAGGCACACGCCUUGAAUACAUCAGCAUGGAAUAAUAAGAUAGGACCUUGGUUCUAUUUUGUUGGUUUCUAAAGCUGAGGUAAUGAUUAAUACGGAUAGUUGGGGGCAUUCGUAUUUAACUGUCAGAGGUGGAUUUCUUAGAUGUGUUAAAGACGGACUACUGCGAAAGCAUUUGCCAAGGAUGUUUUCAUCG
This 388-nucleotide ribosomal RNA is filed under the name Dinophyceae sp. Its description in RNAcentral is "partial small subunit ribosomal RNA". It matches the Rfam family "Eukaryotic small subunit ribosomal RNA", at positions 582 to 975 of the family's 1831-position model. The record is from RNAcentral. Lineage: Eukaryota; Dinophyceae.